UGACGACAGAACGUUUGUAGUGGCGUCGCGGUAGAUUUAAAUUCCAUUUUUAGUUGUUUUUUUUUUUCAUGUUAAAGUUUAUUUAAGUCUGGGAACAGCUGCUGGAGCUCACCAAAAUGGGGAAAACCUACAUAAACAUCGCAGAUGAAGAAGAGGAUGCCGGCAGCAAACGUCUUGUCAAAGCCAUCAAAAGAGGAGUAGUGGAUGAAGGCCAUGACCCCGAUCACAAUGCCGAUGAAGCAAGCCAGCAAGGAGAGGAUCAUGAAAGCCCGCGUGGCAUCCCAGUACGCUGAGCAGCGGAAAAGGAACGCUGAUGUCAGUUCAGAGGCACACAGUAGCGCCACAAGCCCUGGUGCAUAUAAUUGCUGGAGUGACGGUACUGCAUCCAAUAGUCCGUUGCCGUGGAGACGAUGAGGAGUAUGUUGCCCACUCCGGCGCAGAACAAGCCUCCUCCCAUGAAGCUGUACAUCCUGACCAGGGACUGACACGGAGAAGAGAGCAGUGAUGAUGGUGAGGUCAAGUCAAAGCUGGACAACUAAAGCUGCAACACAGACCAGAACAGAUCAUCUACAGUGACGGUCACUCCAACGAUCCCAGUGCUCCUCUAGGGUCGGCUCAUGUAGGAGUCCCAUGACCAGAACCUAGAAUGCUCUUUUUACAUCAAGCUCAAACACUGCUGCUGUUAGCAUUUAUGCGCCAGUUUUUUGAUCAGAGCCAUGGGAACAGACUGGACGAGGAAGCCAGGGAGGAAGAGGACGGGCGUCAGAUGAGGUUCUGAAAGGGAACAGCAAGAACAGUGAGACGUACCUGGUCUCUGCUCUUGGGAGCAGCGGAGGCUCUGGGGAAGACUCCUCCACCCAGGGAUCCGUAGCCUGACAUCUGUGUCUUCUGCUGGAGGGUUGACUGACCGUGCUGGAUUAAAGUCUCAUCUGCAGACGACAAAGAAAUGAGGGAAGAGGAAGUGACAAGACGUCCACCCAUGUGAGUGGCGGCAACUUAGGCGAGGAGCCGGUGGACUUCUGCCUCACCAGUUUAUCUGUGAAAGCUCUGACAAACCGUGCUGGUACCAUCCUUCCUCAGCAGCCUGUUGGUCUCCUCCAUCUCCACAUUAACGAAUGCUGAAGAGGCCAAAGUACUAGAAGGUCUGAAGAAGUCUGAGGCUUUGCUGGUCGCUGAAGCUGUGCUAUGAGUAGCAUGUCUGAUGGAAAGGUGAGUAGUGAGGAGGGAAACUGCUCCUCAGAUGAUCCAUGAAGAACACAAGCCUCAGAGGAUUAGGUGUCAGGCUGUGGUGUGGUGAGACUGCAGACUGGUCUGGUCACCUUUGGACCUCUGCUGUCCAGCAUUGGUGAGGGUCAGUGAGAUAUCUUCGUCCUUUUUGCCGAGAAAGUGCAGCACCUGGAGAGGUGCGGAGAUGAUGGUGCAUGCUGAUGGUGGUCUCUCCCGGUGAAGUCAGGAUUUUUAAAAGAUUUGUCAGAGCGACCGGUAUGUCAUCCUUAAAUCCUGCGUCGUCCUCACACACACCACCAACGUCUUUGCGAUGGUUUUCCCUCGCAAGGUUCUGAGGGAAUUUCAGAUGUGGGACAUUGUCUUGCCUAUUUAAGGCGCCUUGCGUUUACAAUUACGGUUUUUAUUUAUCGCUUCUGGAAGGCUUUCAUCGCCCGCUCAUCCUUGGCUGCUGCACGUCCCCGAAGGUCUCGCAAAAUGAAACGGUUUGAUUCUAAAAGGAGUGUGUUUUGGCAGUCAAAGAUAAGCCAUUGUUAUAAAUCGCCGCACGAGGUGCACCAAAUUAUGAGUCACCAUGGCAACAAGCCUCGCGCUUCACGUUUGCAGCGCUCCCUGAUGAAACUUGGCUCCAACUCAACUCCAUGAUCAAGUGGGUCUGAUGGCAGAUUGAAAGUUUGAGAACUCACCAUUGCUUUUCUUGUUAUACUGGAGUUUGGCGUAUUCCGAGCCGGACUUUGCCGACUGAAGCGUCCACUGCUCCAGCUCCUGCUCCAGCGCCUUGUUGGACAGGACCGGGUUGCUGCUGUAAGGGUCCGGGCCUUGCUUGUAGCUGGCGCUGGUGUAGGUGUCGUAGUAGGCCAGCAGCUCCUCGUCCGCCGCCGUGUUGAUGGUGCUGUAGAUGGGGCUGUCGUUGGACGCCGUGCUGCGUUUCUCCGAGUGGCUCGGGAAGUUGGAGAUGCUGAUAGCUGUAGAGCAGCAACCAUUAGUGAGGUUCGCUUCCGCUUCAGUGUCCGAUUCUCUUACUGUUGUAGAAUCUCUCGGCGUCCAGUUUGCCUGAGCAGCAGUUGACCGACUCCUUGCUGGUGAGCGUGAGGUUGGGUGUGGGCCAGGAGUCAGCCAGCCAGGGGUAGGUGCCCAUGUUGGAGCCCAGCAUGCCGGGUCUGGGACACACAAACUCAGCGUUAAAAAAACAACAUGGUGAGAAUGAUUUGGAGACUGGACAACCUUACCCUCCGUUGAUGAUCCCAGAUCCUUCGUUGUGAGCAAAGCCAGCUGGAGGCAGAAGGUUUUGACUGAAUCAAUAAACUGCAGCGAAUAACUUGGAAGAGUUGACAACUCAGCAAAUACUCAGACUGCCCGUUGCCUAAUAAGAUAGCACUAGUACACAGUUCCCUCGGAGGGAGCAGCAUUGUUCGAAAAUCAAGAAAUGUAUUUCAGUAAAUACACAUUUCUUAUAUGCUGGAUUUUUUUAUGACUCCAUUUUUCUCAUACUUUCUAGGGAUUUUUCUCAUUUCUUUGGUUUGGAUUACUGGAUUAUCAUUACACUCAUGAAGACGGAUUAAAUAAAUGAUAUUUCAAUAAAAUAUAAAUUCAAUGUACACUGUUAUGAAACAUAAAACAAUAUAUACUGAGACACACCUUGAAUUUUCCAAAUUCAUGUACAACUGCAUUUAUGAAAAAGACAUGAACAUUCAAUUUUGUCUAGGUGAGACCUCUUUAAUAUUAUGAUUAAAUUAUGAUAAUUCCCUGUAUUUCUUUCAGGGAGAUGGAAGGCUGUUGUCUCCACCUUCACAGCGUCUGUGAAUGGUAACUAUAAAUGUAGAUAUUACAAAAGUACAGCAAAAGGCAGCCCAGAUGGUGAUGAAAAGUCAAGUAUUUCUGAAUGCUUGCUGGUAAAAUAGUUUAAUAUUGGACGGACUGGUAAGAGAAGUCUUGUAGCUGUAGUGGACACAGAACUCAUGUCCUGCUGGGAGGAGAGCAUGGAGCAGACUGAGGACCAGAUGGAGGGAUUAUAUCUCCACACACUCAGUCGGAGCUGGAUCCUGAGCAAAGUAAAGUUUGGUCAGUCGGUUGUAACCGUCAUGUUUGUGAUCAGGGAUCAAAUAAGUACUAGUUUUAAAGCUUCAGUGUUAGAAGUCAGAGCAGUGGGUGGGGUUGCAAUAGUAGUAGCAGCAGUAGGAAGUGGAGCCAGUCGCUGGAUGACCAGUGAAAACAGGUUGAGCAUCACUUCCACAACAGCCUCCAUCACUGAAGGCGCUGCACUCACCGGCUGGUGUGUAGGCGAAGGAAGUGGUGUAGUGACCCAGCUGCUUCCUCCGGCGGUGGCGACAGUAGAACCAGCCGCUGAAGCCCACCAGAGCCAGCCAGGCGGCCACGCCCAGCCCGGCUAAGAAGGCCGGCUGCCGGACCACGCUGGUGAUCUGCUCCGAGAUGCUGAGGUCGCUGCUUUUCUUCACCGGGGUGGUCGACGCCGGCUGAGCUGCAGGAGAGUUAAGAAAUCCUUUUGUUCACUCUUAAACCUGGCCACAUGGUUUUGGGAUUCGACACAUUUUCAUUCAUCAUUCACAAACAUCAACAGUCAAUGAACGUUCUAAUUUCACUCCCCCCAGUGCAGUGCCACCAUGACCCAGCAGUUUUCUUCCAAAGAUGUCUCCCAGGAAAAACACCUUAGUUCAACACCAAGCACAAGAGAAUUCAAAUGCUGCUGAACACUAUUCAGUUCAACGGUUUCCAUGAGAAGAAGUUAUUGAUCACCGUGGACUGACUUGACACUGUUGUUGCUGCCACCUGAGGCGGCCAACAAACAGCCUUUCACUCAUCUCAGCGCCGCAGCAGGAAGCUCAUAUUUAAUGCAGAUCAGAGUGAUAUUGAUUUCACCAUCCAACACUGCAAGGAAGUCCAUGAGAGUAUUUCCCAACAGUGCUCCUAAAAAUAGCUGCUGAUUCAGAGGUGGCGUCACAGGCAGCCAGUGAGUGAGGAGCCUCAAAAGAAAAAAAAAAAAAUUCGCUUUAUAUUUAAAAUAUCACCUUUUUCUUUUUUUUAGCUUUAACUUUAACAAGAACAUUUCUAGUAUCAUGUACAAACUUUAAAAACAGUAGGUUUUGGUUCAACCUUUCUGAAAUUCCGUGACUUCAACCUUUAAUUUUUCAUAAUUAUUUUGCACCAUUUUUUAAGCCUAAAAAUACCAUGACUUUUAACAUAAUAUCAGUACUUAAAAGACAGUGUUACUGCAUGACAAUAGGUUACAGUUAUUGAACUAGUAUCACUUUGUAAAUGUUAUGUUUUCAUCAAUAUACCUUCCAUUUUUUUCUCAUUAGAUUUUAGUUAGUAUUGAACGAAGUAUUCAGCAUUAAAAUAUUGACCUUCACCAAGGACAUGUCGUCGCCUGUAUCUAUCUGACUUUUGAAGUUUCAUCGCUCUGUGGUGGAACGAACACCCAUUCUCAUUUGCUCCGUCUGUCUGUGUUGUGCAAGCUCCAUAGUGAUGGGUUGAUGAGGCUUCAUGAAACAGCAUCCUAUGUGGCACUCUCCGCUCAAAAACCUUCAGAUUUGAACCAUUUCUAUGAAAUCUCCCAUCAUUUUUAAACCGAGAGCGCCACCUACUGAGCUCAGAAAAUGAGGAUGCUGUUUCAUGAAGCCACAUCUCCAGCCCAGUUCCAGAACCCUACUGCCACCUGCUGUCACAUGAUGAGGACUGCAGUUCAGACCCUCUUCCUGUCCCCUCACUCGUUCCAGCAGAACCACCUGUCAGAAGGCGUCUGACUGAUCCACGGCAUCAAUAACCGUCUGUCUGACUUACCCAGUCGGAAGCUGACGGCCGAGCUCUGGGCUCCCACUCCGAGGCCGGUGACAGCCGCCACGGUGACGGUGUAGCGGACGUCCGGCAGGAGGCCCGUCAGCAGGAUGGACAGAACCGCCCCGUCCACCGUCCGGUUUAUCUGCGUCUCCUGAUGCACAUCGCUGCCCACACACCAGACCUGAUGGCAGCAUGACAAGCCCAGUUAACGUUUGAAUAUUGAUGGGGCCGAAUUGUUGGAGCGUGGCGCUGCAACCAUGUCUGACCUGCAACAAUCUUUUUUUGUUUGUUUUGUUUUUAUCUUCAGCUAACGACAAAACCAGAAGUCCAUUUUUAAGACAUUACGGACAUUUUUGGUCAGUUUCUACUGUGGGACAACUUUCUUUUUUCAUCAACUUGUGCCAUUUCCUGCAGCUCAAAUGGCAACUUCCUCCAAACUCCAAAUUGAUUUUUUUUUUCAUACUUUCUAGGGAUUACUGGAUUAUUAUUACAUUCAUGAAGAAGGAUCAAAUAAAUGAUAGUUCAAUAAAAUACACUAUUAUAAAACAUGAAACAAUAUAUAGUUUAACACACCUUUUAAACUGUC
Molecule: long non-coding RNA, 5605 nt
Organism: Synchiropus splendidus (mandarinfish)
Lineage: Eukaryota; Metazoa; Chordata; Actinopteri; Syngnathiformes; Callionymidae
Exons: 8
Source: RefSeq, a predicted model, not a curated record